GACGAACGCUGGCGGCGUGCUUAACACAUGCAAGUCGAACGGAAAGGCCCUGCUUUUGUGGGGUGCUCGAGUGGCGAACGGGUGAGUAACACGUGAGUAACCUGCCCUUGACUUUGGGAUAACUUCAGGAAACUGGGGCUAAUACCGGAUAGGAGCUCCUGCUGCAUGGUGGGGGUUGGAAAGUUUCGGCGGUUGGGGAUGGACUCGCGGCUUAUCAGCUUGUUGGUGGGGUAGUGGCUUACCAAGGCUUUGACGGGUAGCCGGCCUGAGAGGGUGACCGGGCAAAUGGGAACAGGGAAGGGGCCAGGAGUCCACGGGGGGGAAGGGGGGGAGAAAUUACGGAAAGGGGCGGAGGCCUGAUGGACGAACCCCGGGGGGGGAAAGGCGGCCUUGGGGUUGAAACCCGCUUGCCCCGGAGACGAAGGGUAGGGAAGGGAAAGGGGAAAAAAGACACGGCUAAAUAAGGG
This 467-nucleotide ribosomal RNA is filed under the name uncultured bacterium. RNAcentral describes it as "partial 16S ribosomal RNA". It matches the Rfam family "Bacterial small subunit ribosomal RNA", at positions 28 to 507 of the family's 1533-position model. The record is from RNAcentral.